UACGUAGGGGGCGAGCGUUGUCCGAAUUUACUGGGCGUAAAGCGCGCGUAGGCGGUCAUUUAAGUCCGGGGUGAAAGGUUCAGUGCUCAACGCGAACAGUGCCCUGGAUACUGGGUGACUUGAGUCCGGCAGGGGGUGGCGGAAUUCCUGGUGUAGCGGUGAAAUGCGUAGAUAUUGGGAAGAACACCAGUGGCGAAGGCGGCUAACUGGUCCGAUACUGACGCUGAGGUGCGAAAGCGUGGGGAGCAAACAGG
RNAcentral lists this ribosomal RNA (254 nucleotides) under uncultured bacterium. RNAcentral's name for it is "partial 16S ribosomal RNA". It matches the Rfam family "Bacterial small subunit ribosomal RNA", at positions 524 to 776 of the family's 1533-position model. The record is from RNAcentral.